RNAcentral lists this ribosomal RNA (497 nucleotides) under uncultured bacterium. Its description in RNAcentral is "partial 16S ribosomal RNA". It matches the Rfam family "Bacterial small subunit ribosomal RNA", at positions 28 to 507 of the family's 1533-position model. The record is from RNAcentral.
GAUGAACGCUGGCGGCGUGCCUAAUACAUGCAAGUCGAGCGAACGGACGAGAAGCUUGCUUCUCUGAUGUUAGCGGCGGACGGGUGAGUAACACGUGGAUAACCUACCUAUAAGACUGGGAUAACUUCGGGAAACCGGAGCUAAUACCGGAUAAUAUUUUGAACCGCAUGGUUCAAAAGUGAAAGACGGUCUUGCUGUCACUUAUAGAUGGAUCCGCGCUGCAUUAGCUAGUUGGUAAGGUAACGGCUUACCAAGGCAACGAUGCAUAGCCGACCUGAGAGGGGGAUCGGCCACCCUGGAACUGAGACACGGUCCAGACUCCUGCGGGAGGCAGCAGUAGGGAAUCUUCCGCAAUGGGCGAAAGCCUGACGGAGCAACGCCGCGUGAGUGAUGAAGGUCUUCGGAUCGUAAAACUCUGUUAUUAGGGAAGAACAUAUGUGUAAGUAACUGUGCACAUCUUGACGGUACCGAAUCAGAAAGCCACGGCUAACUACGUG